GGACCCGUAGCUCAGCGGGCGAGCGGGGCAGCGAAGAUGCCCCGAUCCCGGUCCGACUCCGGGCGGGUCCA
This 71-nucleotide transfer RNA is filed under the name Euryarchaeota archaeon RBG_16_68_12. RNAcentral describes it as "tRNA-Phe". Lineage: Archaea; Methanobacteriati; Methanobacteriota. The record is from RNAcentral.